UCCGGUGACGAUAGCGAUGAGGAUCCACCUGUUCCCAUUCCGAACACAGAAGUUAAGCUCAUCUACGGCGAAAGUACUUGACCAUCCAAGGUCCGGGAGGAUAGCAAGUUGCCGGAU
This 117-nucleotide ribosomal RNA is filed under the name Candidatus Coproplasma excrementipullorum. The record is from RNAcentral. Lineage: Bacteria; Bacillati; Bacillota; Clostridia; Eubacteriales.